RNAcentral lists this ribosomal RNA (1368 nucleotides) under uncultured bacterium. RNAcentral describes it as "bacterial SSU rRNA". It matches the Rfam family "Bacterial small subunit ribosomal RNA", at positions 28 to 1381 of the family's 1533-position model. The record is from RNAcentral.
GACGAACGCUGGCGGCGUGCCUAAUACAUGCAAGUAGAACGCUGAAGAGAGGAGCUUGCUCUUCUUGGAUGAGUUGCGAACGGGUGAGUAACGCGUAGGUAACCUGCCUUGUAGCGGGGGAUAACUAUUGGAAACGAUAGCUAAUACCGCAUAACAAUGGAUGACACAUGUCAUUUAUUUGAAAGGGGCAAUUGCUCCACUACAAGAUGGACCUGCGUUGUAUUAGCUAGUAGGUGAGGUAAUGGCUCACCUAGGCGACGAUACAUAGCCGACCUGAGAGGGUGAUCGGCCACACUGGGACUGAGACACGGCCCAGACUCCUACGGGAGGCAGCAGUAGGGAAUCUUCGGCAAUGGGGGCAACCCUGACCGAGCAACGCCGCGUGAGUGAAGAAGGUUUUCGGAUCGUAAAGCUCUGUUGUAAGUCAAGAACGGGUGUGAGAGUGGAAAGUUCACACUAUGACGGUAGCUUACCAGAAAGGGACGGCUAACUACGUGCCAGCAGCCGCGGUAAUACGUAGGUCCCGAGCGUUGUCCGGAUUUAUUGGGCGUAAGGCGAGCGCAGGCGGUUUGAUAAGUCUGAAGUUAAGGCUGUGGCUCAACCAUAGUUCGCUUUGGAAACUGUCAAACUUGAGUGCAGAAGGGGAGAGUGGAAUUCCAUGUGUAGCGGUGAAAUGCGUAGAUAUAUGGAGGAACACCGGUGGCGAAAGCGGCUCUCUGGUCUGUAACUGACGCUGAGGCUCGAAAGCGUGGGGAGCGAACAGGAUUAGAUACCCUGGUAGUCCACGCCGUAAACGAUGAGUGCUAGGUGUUGGAUCCUUUCCGGGAUUCAGUGCCGCAGCUAACGCAUUAAGCACUCCGCCUGGGGAGUACGACCGCAAGGUUGAAACUCAAAGGAAUUGACGGGGGCCCGCACAAGCGGUGGAGCAUGUGGUUUAAUUCGAAGCAACGCGAAGAACCUUACCAGGUCUUGACAUCCCGAUGCUAUUUCUAGAGAUAGAAAGUUACUUCGGUACAUCGGUGACAGGUGGUGCAUGGUUGUCGUCAGCUCGUGUCGUGAGAUGUUGGGUUAAGUCCCGCAACGAGCGCAACCCCUAUUGUUAGUUGCCAUCAUUCAGUUGGGCACUCUAGCGAGACUGCCGGUAAUAAACCGGAGGAAGGUGGGGAUGACGUCAAAUCAUCAUGCCCCUUAUGACCUGGGCUACACACGUGCUACAAUGGUUGGUACAACGAGUUGCGAGUCGGUGACGGCGAGCUAAUCUCUUAAAGCCAAUCUCAGUUCGGAUUGUAGGCUGCAACUCGCCUACAUGAAGUCGGAAUCGCUAGUAAUCGCGGAUCAGCACGCCGCGGUGAAUACGUUCCCGGGCCU